CCACUAUUGAAGAGUCCCACAAUAGGACGAAACGGCCAUCCAGUGC
This 46-nucleotide non-coding RNA is filed under the name Schistosoma margrebowiei. Lineage: Eukaryota; Metazoa; Platyhelminthes; Trematoda; Strigeidida; Schistosomatidae. The record is from RNAcentral.